Molecule: ribosomal RNA, 253 nt
Filed under: uncultured bacterium
Lineage: Bacteria
Description: partial 16S ribosomal RNA
Rfam family: Bacterial small subunit ribosomal RNA
Source: RNAcentral
UACGAAGGGUGCAAGCGUUACUCGGAAUUACUGGGCGUAAAGCGUGCGUAGGUGGUUUGUUAAGUCUGAUGUGAAAGCCCUGGGCUCAACCUGGGAAUUGCAUUGGAUACUGGCAGGCUAGAGUGCGGUAGAGGAUGGCGGAAUUCCCGGUGUAGCAGUGAAAUGCGUAGAGAUCGGGAGGAACACCGGUGGCGAAGGCGGGUCUCUGGGCCGAAACUGACGCUGAGGAGCGAAAGCGUGGGGAGCAAACAGG